Molecule: transfer RNA, 18 nt
Filed under: Ctenochaetus binotatus (twospot surgeonfish)
Lineage: Eukaryota; Metazoa; Chordata; Actinopteri; Acanthuriformes; Acanthuridae
Also listed under: 1 other name
Description: partial tRNA-Pro
Source: RNAcentral
UUCUUCAUUAAACUACUC